AUACGGAGGGUCCGAGCGUUAUCCGGAAUCAUUGGGUUUAAAGGGACCGUAGGCGGGAAUCUAAGUCAGUGGUGAAAUCUUGCAGCUCAACUGUAAAAUUGCCAUUGAUACUGGAUUUCUUGAAUUAGUGUGAAGUGGUUAGAAUGUGUAGUGUAGCGGUGAAAUGCAUAGAUAUUACACAGAAUACCAAUUGCGAAGGCAGAUCACUAACACUAUAUUGACGCUAAGGGACGAAAGCGUGGGGAGCGAACAGGAUUAGAAACCCCAGUAGUCC
RNAcentral lists this ribosomal RNA (274 nucleotides) under uncultured bacterium. Its description in RNAcentral is "partial 16S ribosomal RNA". It matches the Rfam family "Bacterial small subunit ribosomal RNA", at positions 523 to 796 of the family's 1533-position model. The record is from RNAcentral.